RNAcentral lists this ribosomal RNA (496 nucleotides) under uncultured bacterium. RNAcentral's name for it is "partial 16S ribosomal RNA". It matches the Rfam family "Bacterial small subunit ribosomal RNA", at positions 29 to 507 of the family's 1533-position model. The record is from RNAcentral.
AUGAACGCUGCCGGCGUGCCUAAUACAUGCAAGUCGAGCGAACAGACGAGGAGCUUGCUCCUCUGACGUUAGCGGCGGACGGGUGAGUAACACGUGGAUAACCUACCUAUAAGACUGGGAUAACUUCGGGAAACCGGAGCUAAUACCGGAUAAUAUAUUGAACCGCAUGGUUCAAUAGUGAAAGACGGUUUUGCUGUCACUUAUAGAUGGAUCCGCGCCGCAUUAGCUAGUUGGUAAGGUAACGGCUUACCAAGGCGACGAUGCGUAGCCGACCUGAGAGGGUGAUCGGCCACACUGGAACUGAGACACGGUCCAGACUCCUACGGGAGGCAGCAGUAGGGAAUCUUCCGCAAUGGGCGAAAGCCUGACGGAGCAACGCCGCGUGAGUGAUGAAGGUCUUCGGAUCGUAAAACUCUGUUAUUAGGGAAGAACAAAUGUGUAAGUAACUAUGCACGUCUUGACGGUACCUAAUCAGAAAGCCACGGCUAACUACGUG